AACAAACUCCAUAAGAAGCACUCACAGAUAAUAGCACAGAAGUAGAAGAGUUUGGCAGGUUACCCUGGGACCAGGCUUCUUACAAGAUCAAGUUUUCACUCUGCAGAUCUGCCUUUUUCUCAGAGUCCAGAAUGGUCCAGUGGUGGAGCUCUAUCAUUCCCAACUUGGAUUUAUUCCUUCCCUGAUUCUGCAGCUCCAACCACUGGCCACAACUACAGUUUCUGUAGUCAGAAGAGUGGACUGGAGCCAUCUGCCCAUUAACAUAACCCAAUGACUAGAAACAUCUGUCUUAGGCCUGGCUCUGAGUGGAAGUAAGUUUGCG
This 322-nucleotide long non-coding RNA is filed under the name Vulpes vulpes (red fox). Its description in RNAcentral is "lncRNA (ENSVVUG00000022516.1)". The record is from RNAcentral. Lineage: Eukaryota; Metazoa; Chordata; Mammalia; Carnivora; Canidae.